Molecule: long non-coding RNA, 720 nt
Organism: Helicoverpa armigera (cotton bollworm)
Lineage: Eukaryota; Metazoa; Arthropoda; Insecta; Lepidoptera; Noctuidae
Exons: 2
Source: RefSeq, a predicted model, not a curated record
CCCGGUAGGACGUAAACAAUCAACCGAUAUCCCACGCGAGUAGUUGCGUUUUAUCAAAUAGUAACAUCCUGGGAUCGUAAUAAUCGAGUGUGGGUUGAUUUCAAACAUCCGAAAUUUUAUUGAUACCACAACACUGGGUAUGUGGCUGUUUUACGGUUUUACAAUGGUGUUUUCGAGGUUAUGACGGGUCAGCUGCGUGGGCAAAUGUGGUGAUAAAAUAUGAAUCUUUUCUUCAAAGGUCAGCUAUGGGAGACCAAACUCAGUCGUUGUGUAUUUGCUUCGUACAUGGAGUGCGAAGCAUCCGGGAGACUAAACGACCCCAUUUAGACUGGCGAUUGUUAGUGUGACGUCAGGAUCCUGAUUUGACCCUGCAAUUGUACACUAGACUAGUACCGAGUGAUUUUGUAUGUUAUACACAGAUUUCAGGUAUAAAACCAGGUUGUGGAAUAUUUGGAUAAUCUUAAAGUGGAAUAUCUGUAAAAAUUGUUGCCUAAUGGACCAACUUAUUGUGUAUUUACCGCAACAGCAGAAUACAUUGAUAAAUGUGGAGUAUUUUAAAUAAAUGGCCUACCUUAAUUUAACUAAUAAAAAUAACAUGGUAUUACGAGAUUUAAUGUAAGCGUAGGCGGCAACCUUGCGUGCGAAAACGAAAUUUUCGAUGUCAUUACAAUGAUUAAGCAAAACGUAACGUGAAAAAUAAAAAUAAACUUCACAAAUAGA